This 4122-nucleotide long non-coding RNA is filed under the name Homo sapiens (human). RNAcentral's name for it is "HSALNT0096644". Lineage: Eukaryota; Metazoa; Chordata; Mammalia; Primates; Hominidae. The record is from RNAcentral.
GAAAAAUGCCAGGGUAAAACUUUCCAAGGAAACCACACAAAAGCCACCAGAGAAAGGGAGAGGCCAAGUACAACCUGCUCUCAUUCUUACUUGUUAUUCUGUCUGCAUUACUUGGGGCGAAAGUCACAGGACCUUGCUUACCCUUGUCUCUUUUCUUGGCCACGUUCAAAGAUAUGCCAUCCUCAUAGUCUGAUGUUUCAUCCCAAGCAUCUGACACGUGUCAGACACAAUUCAAGAUGCUGAUGCUUACAAAUCUUCACAAGGGCAUUCAACAUUCCAUCCUGUUUCAUCACGAUCCUACAACAUAUUAUCUCCCCAUUUUAUAGAUGAGAAAAUUGAAGUUCACAGAGGCCAACCCUCUUAAUACGUAGAAGAGCAGCGUACAAGCUCCACUCUAUGACUCCAGAGCCUGAUAACCUAACUACUAUGCUUCCUGGCUUAGCACUUGCUGGGACUUUCCACAGAAGACUAUCAUUCCCUGAACUCAGUGCUGGAAAAUCAAUUGUGUGACCCAUUUCACCAAGCCAUGGACUCGCAGAGCUUUGUUUCUGUCCCAUUUGACUGAGCAAUGCUUAUGCUGGAUUGCAAAGGUGGAACACACUCCCUGGUUCCUCAGAAUAGCCACUCCUCUUUGCUCCAACAACAUUGGCUCUUUUGCUGCUGGACUAGCCCAGCAAAUGUGUCGAUGAGAAGUUAUGUGUCUGCUACCCAUGGGAAAAGGACAUCUCCACGUUUCUAAAAAAAUAGCAGUUUUCAGCUUUCUCCUCUGGUAAGGCAGAGUAGGGGAGAACUGGAGCUUUCAAGUAGGGCAGACUCAGGUUUGCAUCCUAACCUCAUUCCUUAUCAGCUGUGCAACCUGAGGCAAGUGUCUCAACCUCUCAGUUGCCUCAUUUUUCAAAAGCGACAUAAGAAUAGUCUCUGAAUCAUUAAGUUAAUUAAGAGAAUUUUUUAAAAUUACAUAAACCUACUAGCAAAUGCUAGUAGCAAUGGCUCAUGCCUAUAAUCCCAACACUUUGGGAGGCCAAAGAAGGAGGGUCGCCUGAGGCCAGGAGUUCAACAACAGUCUGGGUAACAUAGUGAGGCCCUGUCUCUACAAAAAAAUUUUAAAAGUUAGCCAGGUGUGGUGGCACAUGCCCGUAGUACCAGCCACUCCGGAGGCUGAGGCAGGAGGAUCAGUUGAGCCUGGGGGGUUGAGGUUGCAGUGAGUCAUUAUCAUGUCCCUGCACUCUGGGUGAUAGAGUGAGACACUGUCUCAAACAAAACAAGAUAAAACAAAACAAAAAAGAUAUGCUCAUUACUGUCUCUAUGGAAAAAUUAGCAUCUUGUAAAACACCAGAGCAAUUUGCAAUGAGCUGUUCCUAGUUCCUCCCUCCCCAGCCCAUCUUCAGCUAGACCUAACCUCCCUCUAUUCUAAAGCUCUGGGAAAGUCUGGAGCUAAGACCAUUAAUUUCAAGGCUCCCUGGACCACCUUAAAGCCAGGAAACUGAUCCAUCCCACACCUGUCUUCGUUUCUCUCUUCUUUUCCAUAAGACCUCUUACUCAUCACUGGCCCACCGUUGGCUGGCUUUCUCCACCUCAGCAUUUCGCACUGUGGGUUACCAUGUGGCUGGAUGUGCUAUGAGGAAAACAAUUUCACUUCCUUUAAAACCUGCCAUUUGAAAAUAGUAACACCCUGGCCACCCAAAUGAAAAAAGUGAGACUUUUCAAAAGGAAAGAAGGAAAGGAACAAAGAAGGAAAGAAAAGAAAAGAAAAAGAAUUAUUCUUACAUACAGUUUUCAGAGGGCAAUUUAGGAUCAUCUAUUAAAAUGUGUUUUCUCAUAAGAAACUAUGAAGAGCAGAUACCUGUGUGGGUGGUCCUGGGGGCUGGGAGUAGGGAGUGUGAAGAGAGCUUUCUUUCUUUCCUUUUUUUUUUUUUCUUAAGAGAUAGAGUCUUGCUCUGUUGUCCAGAUUGGCCUUGAACUCCUGGUCUCAAGCAAUCCACCCGCCUUGGCCUCCCAAGGAGCUUUUCUUUUUACCUUGUAUCCUUCUGUACUCUUUGAAUAUUUUGCCAUGAAUGUGUAUUUCUUUUAUAAUAUUAAAAACAGUUAACUAAAAUGAAUAAAUACAUUUCCCUGAUCUGAUUUAUUCUAUGGAAACAUUUGUUCAAAAUAUAUAAAGAUGUAAUAAAAAGGAUUUUCACAGAAGCAUUAUUUAUUACACUAAAAUAAACUGGAAAAACUUAAAUAUCCAUCAAUAGACAAAUGGUUAAAUUAGUUAUGGUUAAACAUCCAUCUGUGUAUGGUUAAAUUCGUCAUCAUACAUAAUGACUACUCUGUAACCAUUAACAGAUAAUAAAGUUCAUCUAUACAGAGGGACAAAAGUAUAUACCAAGUGUUAAAGAGCAGAUUUAAAGCAACAGAUGGAGCAUCAUCCCAUUUUUGGAAGAAGAGAUUAUGUAUUAGUAUAUGCAAUAUCCAAAGAAAUAAUACAAGAAGAAAAACAUUCCAAGCUGCUAACACUGGUUCUUUGUUGUAGGUUCCACUGUGGCAGAAUUUCACAAAGUUAUAUAUUCUUAUGAUAUUUGAAGUUUUUACAGAGAGUGUGAAGCAGGAGGAAAAGCAGAGAAAUGAAAAUAAUAUUUUAAUACAGUUAGAAGUUUCAAAAACAUCAUAGUGUCAACUUAGAUGAUUAUGGGAGAGGAAUAAGGGGUAUGCAUCAAAUGCUGGGUGUGCGAAAUGAUGCACGCCCUUGUAACCGCAUAACCCCAUUAGCAGUGAGCAGCAGCUAGAGAGCACCUGCCACCUGCUCAUCUGUAUCCAUGGGGGUUCAAGUACAUGACAGUCUCUCUCAUGUUCUUCUUGAGGGAUAGCCUUUUUCUUCAUAGAUUCUAAUAAAGUAAUUCAGUGUGCUUUUAUAUGGGUAUAUUUAUCUUAUAAGUGAAAUGAUAACUCAGGAAUAAUGUCCAAGCCCCAUUCUUACUAGAUCAAGGUAACAUGAUCCUAGCAUGUUGAAAACAUGUGUGUUUAGAUUUUCUUACAAAAGGGAGCAGAGAGAAAAGGACUUAUGUGGAAAUUAGGAGCAAGAACUAAGUGAUAUUUUCCAAGCAUAAAGUAGAUUCUCAAGGCAUCCUCUGUAUUGUUUCUGUCAGUAUCUCUGAGCUGUGAAUAUUCCUUCAAAGACCUUCCUCCCAGAAUAAGAAAUAUGAAAUGUUAAAUGAGUUUGAAAGAACGUAUUUUUUGUGUCUUCUUUUUAAGCACUGAAGGACCAGUAGCCAAAAUACAUAAGUGCAUAAAAACUUCAUUGCAUUUCAGGAAAUAACUGCUUGCACUGAGGCGAUGUUCAAUUAAUAUCUGUUAAUUGAUUGAAGGAACAGCAAGUAAAACCAAGUAUGCAGCAGAAAGUGAUUAUUGUGAACCCUAUGACAAAACUUUUAAUGGAAAUGAUUUGGAAUAAGAUUUCCAGAAAAAUUGGCAGGUGGAUAAAAAUCUCUUGACAAUGAAAAUGUAGGUUAAAACUAGUCUGCCCAAAGUGUUUAGCUGGUAGUUAAAGAGCUCCUACAAAUUAAAUAAAAUACUAAUAAACUUAUAGGAAAAUGAACAAAAGGAAUAUAUUUAAGCAUAUGGAAAGAUGCUUAAUGUCACUAUAACAACAGAAAUGCAAAUAAAUUAUACUUAAGUACUAUUUUUUAAACCCCUAUCAGAUUAGCAAAGAUCAAAACAUAAGAUAAUGGUGUUUGUGAGGUUUUGAGAAAACAUGCUUCUCACAUGUGGCCCUGGGGAAUGUUCACUGGUACAACUUCUGUAGAGAGUAAUUUGCUCAUAGUCAACAAAAUAACAGAUGCAAAUAUCCUUUGACUCAGCAAUUCCACUUCUAGAAAUGUUUUCUACAGACUGGAGCUUCUCAGCCUCAGCAUUAUUGACAUUUUGGGCUGAAUAAUUUUUUGUUGUGAGUCUGUCCUGUGAAUUGUAGGAUAUUUAGCAGCACCCUCAGCUUCUACCCACUAGAUGUUGGUGGCACCCUCCUCCCCACUUAUAACAACCAAAAAUUUCCCCAGGUUUUGUCAAAUGUCCCCUGGUGGGCAAAAUCACCUUUGGUUGAGAACCACUGUUAUAAAAGUAUUUAUGGAAAAUGACACAUCUACA